This 189-nucleotide ribosomal RNA is filed under the name Paenibacillus sp. UNC496MF. RNAcentral describes it as "16S rRNA. Bacterial SSU". It matches the Rfam family "Bacterial small subunit ribosomal RNA", at positions 19 to 210 of the family's 1533-position model. Lineage: Bacteria; Bacillati; Bacillota; Bacilli; Caryophanales; Paenibacillaceae. The record is from RNAcentral.
CUGGCUCAGGACGAACGCUGGCGGCGUGCCUAAUACAUGCAAGUCGAGCGGACUUUCCCUUCGGGGAAGGUUAGCGGCGGACGGGUGAGUAACACGUAGGCAACCUGCCUGCAAGACCGGGAUAACAUUCGGAAACGAAUGCUAAUACCGGAUACGCAGUUUCCUCGCAUGGGGAGACUGGGAAAGACG